AGUGAACGCUGGCGGUAGGCCUAACACAUGCAAGUCGAACGGCAGCACAGUAAGAGCUUGCUCUUACGGGUGGCGAGUGGCGGACGGGUGAGGAAUACAUCGGAAUCUACUUUUUCGUGGGGGUUAACGUAGGGAAACUUACGCUAAUACCGCAUACGACCUACGGGUGAAAGCAGGGGAUCUUCUGACCUUGCGCGAUUGAAUGAGCCGAUGUCGGAUUAGCUAGUUGGCGGGGUAAAGGCCCACCAAGGCGACGAUCCGUAGCUGGUCUGAGAGGAUGAUCAGCCACACUGGAACUGAGACACGGUCCAGACUCCUACGGGAGGCAGCAGUGGGGAAUAUUGGACAAUGGGCGCAAGCAUGAUCCAGCCAUACCGCGUGGGUGAAGAAGGCCUUCGGGUUGUAAAGCCCUUUUGUUGGGAAAGAAAAGCAGCAGGUUAAUACCCCGCUGUUCUGACGGUACCCAAAGAAUAAGCACCGGCUAACUUCGUG
This 492-nucleotide ribosomal RNA is filed under the name uncultured bacterium. RNAcentral describes it as "partial 16S ribosomal RNA". It matches the Rfam family "Bacterial small subunit ribosomal RNA", at positions 29 to 507 of the family's 1533-position model. The record is from RNAcentral.